This 301-nucleotide ribosomal RNA is filed under the name uncultured bacterium. RNAcentral describes it as "partial 16S ribosomal RNA". It matches the Rfam family "Bacterial small subunit ribosomal RNA", at positions 509 to 807 of the family's 1533-position model. The record is from RNAcentral.
CAGUCGCCACGGGAAUACGAGGGGGGCAAGCGUUGUUCGGAAUUAUUGGGCGUAAAGGGCGCGUAGGCGGUUUGACAAGUCUGAUGUGAAAUCUAUGGGCUCAACUCAUAGCCUGCAUUAGAAACUGUCGGGCUUGAGUAUGGGAGAGGUGAGUGGAAUUUCCGGUGUAGCGGUGAAAUGCGUAGAUAUCGGAAGGAACACCUGUGGCGAAAGCGGCUCACUGGACCAUAACUGACGCUGAUGCACGAAAGCUAGGGGAGCAAACAGGAUUAGAUACCCCAGUAGUCCCUGUCUCUUAUAC